GGCUACACACGUGCUACAAUGGGUAGUACAGAGAGUCGCAAAGCCGUGAGGUAGAGCUAAUCUCAGAAAACUAUUCUUAGUUCGGAUUGUACUCUGCAACUCGAGUACAUGAAGUUGGAAUCGCUAGUAAUCGCAAAUCAGCAAUGUUGCGGUGAAUACGUUCUCGGGUCUUGUACACACCGCCCGUCACACCACGAGAGUUGGUUGCACCUGAAGUAGCAGGCCUAACCGUAAGGAGGGAUGCUCCGAGGGUGUGAUUAGCGAUUGGGGUGAAGUCGUAACAAGGUAUCCGUACGGGAACGU
This 303-nucleotide ribosomal RNA is filed under the name uncultured Fusobacterium sp. RNAcentral's name for it is "bacterial SSU rRNA". It matches the Rfam family "Bacterial small subunit ribosomal RNA", at positions 1212 to 1513 of the family's 1533-position model. Lineage: Bacteria; Fusobacteriati; Fusobacteriota; Fusobacteriia; Fusobacteriales; Fusobacteriaceae. The record is from RNAcentral.